UACGUAGGGUGCAAGCGUUGUCCGGAAUUAUUGGGCGUAAAGAGCUCGUAGGUGGUUCGGUAAGUCGGAUGUGAAAUCUCCAGGCUCAACCUGGAGGGGUCAUUCGAUACUGCCGUGACUAGAGUUCGGUAGGGGAGUGUGGAAUUCCUGGUGGAGCGGUGAAAUGCGCAGAUAUCAGGAGGAACACCCGUAGCGAAGGCGGCACUCUGGGCCGAUACCGACACUGAGGAGCGAAAGCGUGGGGAGCGAACAGG
Molecule: ribosomal RNA, 254 nt
Filed under: uncultured bacterium
Lineage: Bacteria
Description: partial 16S ribosomal RNA
Rfam family: Bacterial small subunit ribosomal RNA
Source: RNAcentral